UGCAAAUGAUGUUUUUCUCACGAUGGUCUUCCAAGUCUCGACUUUGACGAUGUCGCCUUAUGGCAACACUGAUGCACCCAG
Engraulis encrasicolus (European anchovy) is the source of this 81-nucleotide small nucleolar RNA. RefSeq annotates it as small nucleolar RNA SNORD35. The transcript has a single exon. The record is from RefSeq and is a predicted model, not a curated record. Lineage: Eukaryota; Metazoa; Chordata; Actinopteri; Clupeiformes; Engraulidae.